GACGAACGCUGGCGGCGUGCUUAACACAUGCAAGUCGAACGGAAAGGCCCUGCUUUUGUGGGGUGCUCGAGUGGCGAACGGGUGAGUAACACGUGAGUAACCUGCCCUUGACUUUGGGAUAACUUCAGGAAACUGGGGCUAAUACCGGAUAGGAGCUCCUGCUGCAUGGUGGGGGUUGGAAAGUUUCGGCGGUUGGGGAUGGACUCGCGGCUUAUCAGCUUGUUGGUGGGGUAGUGGCUUACCAAGGCUUUGACGGGUAGCCGGCCUGAGAGGGUGACCGGCCACAUUGGGACUGAGAUACGGCCCAGACUCCUACGGGAGGCAGCAGUGGGGAAAAUUGCACAAUGGGCGGAAGCCUGAUGCAGCAACGCCGCGUGCGGGAUGACGGCCUUCGGGUUGUAAACCGCUUUCGCCUGUGACGAAGCGUGAGUGACGGUAAUGGGUAAGGAAGCACCGGCUAACUACGUG
Molecule: ribosomal RNA, 468 nt
Filed under: uncultured bacterium
Lineage: Bacteria
Description: partial 16S ribosomal RNA
Rfam family: Bacterial small subunit ribosomal RNA
Source: RNAcentral